Erinaceus europaeus (western European hedgehog) is the source of this 46-nucleotide non-coding RNA. The record is from Rfam. NCBI's taxonomy places the organism in Eukaryota, Metazoa, Chordata, Mammalia, Eulipotyphla, Erinaceidae.
AAAAAGGCCCUUUUUAGGGCCACCACAUUUUCUUUUCAAGAGCCGU